GACGAACGCUGGCGGCGUGCUUAACACAUGCAAGUCGAGCGGUAAGGCCCUUUCGGGGGUACGACGAGCGGCGAACGGGUGAGUAACACGUGGGUGACCUGCCCUUAGCUCUGGGAUAAGCCUGGGAAACUGGGUCUAAUACCGGAUAUGACUCCAUGACGCAUGUUGUGGGGUGGAAAGCCUUGUGCGGCUAGGGAUGGGCCCGCGGCCUAUCAGCUUGUUGGUGGGGUGAUGGCCUACCAAGGCGACGACGGGUAGCCGGCCUGAGAGGGCGACCGGCCACACUGGGACUGAGACACGGCCCAGACUCCUACGGGAGGCAGCAGUGGGGAAUCUUGCGCAAUGGGCGAAAGCCUGACGCAGCGACGCCGCGUGGGGAUGACGGCCUCGGUU
Molecule: ribosomal RNA, 393 nt
Filed under: uncultured bacterium
Lineage: Bacteria
Description: bacterial SSU rRNA
Rfam family: Bacterial small subunit ribosomal RNA
Source: RNAcentral